UACGGAGGGUGCAAGCGUUAAUCGGAAUUACUGGGCGUAAAGCGUGCGUAGGUGGUUCGUUAAGUCCGUUGUGAAAGCCCCGGGCUCAACCUGGGAAUGGCGAUGGAUACUGGCUCGCUAGAGUGCGGUAGAGGAGAGUGGAAUUCCCGGUGUAGCAGUGAAAUGCGUAGAGAUCGGGAGGAACAUCAGUUGCGAAGGCGGCUCUCUGGACCAGCACUGACACUGAGGCACGAAAGCGUGGGGAGCAAACAGG
This 253-nucleotide ribosomal RNA is filed under the name uncultured bacterium. Its description in RNAcentral is "partial 16S ribosomal RNA". It matches the Rfam family "Bacterial small subunit ribosomal RNA", at positions 524 to 776 of the family's 1533-position model. The record is from RNAcentral.